Molecule: ribosomal RNA, 448 nt
Filed under: uncultured bacterium
Lineage: Bacteria
Description: bacterial SSU rRNA
Rfam family: Bacterial small subunit ribosomal RNA
Source: RNAcentral
GUCCAGACUCCUACGGGAGGCAGCAGUGGGGAAUAUUGCACAAUGGGGGAAACCCUGAUGCAGCGACGCCGCGUGAGUGAAGAAGUAUUUCGGUAUGUAAAGCUCUAUCAGCAGGGAAGAAAAUGACGGUACCUGACUAAGAAGCCCCGGCUAACUACGUGCCAGCAGCCGCGGUAAUACGUAGGGGGCAAGCGUUAUCCGGAUUUACUGGGUGUAAAGGGAGCGUAGACGGCAUGGCAAGUCAGAUGUGAAAGCCCGGGGCUCAACCCCGGGACUGCAUUUGAAGCUGUCAGGCUGGAGUGCAGGAGAGGUAAGUGGAAUUCCUAGUGUAGCGGUGAAAUGCGUAGAUAUUAGGAGGAACACCAGUGGCGAAGGCGGCUUACUGGACUGUAACUGACGUUGAGGCUCGAAAGCGUGGGGAGCAAACAGGAUUAGAUACCCGAGUACG